RNAcentral lists this ribosomal RNA (424 nucleotides) under uncultured Comamonadaceae bacterium. Its description in RNAcentral is "bacterial SSU rRNA". It matches the Rfam family "Bacterial small subunit ribosomal RNA", at positions 954 to 1382 of the family's 1533-position model. Lineage: Bacteria; Pseudomonadati; Pseudomonadota; Betaproteobacteria; Burkholderiales; Comamonadaceae. The record is from RNAcentral.
AUGCAACGACGAAAACCUUACCCUACCUUUGACAUGUACGAAUCCUUUAGAGAUAGAGGAGUGCUCGAAAGAGAGCCGUAACACAGGUGCUGCAUGGCUGUCGUCAGCUCGUGUCGUGAGAUGUUGGGUUAAGUCCCGCAACGAGCGCAACCCUUGUCAUUAGUUGCUACGAAAGGGCACUCUAAUGAGACUGCCGGUGACAAACCGGAGGAAGGUGGGGAUGACGUCAAGUCCUCAUGGCCCUUAUAGGUGGGGCUACACACGUCAUACAAUGGCUGGUACAAAGGGUUGCCAACCCGCGAGGGGGAGCCAAUCCCAGAAAACCUGUCUCAGUCCGGAUUGAAGUCUGCAACUCGACUUCAUGAAGGCGGAAUCGCUAGUAACCGCGAAUCAGCAGGUCGCGGUGAAUACGUUCCCGGGCCUU